AUAUUAUUUCUCGGUGUGUUCAGGUGAGAAUUUCUCUCUUCUUCCUCUUCUUCAUUUUUUUUUAUCUCAUCACUGUGUCCACUAGGACUUAUUUCAUGCAUUGGGUUACAAAGAUCCAUGCCAGUAAGGUACUAUUGGUUCCAAGAUUAGUAUUUAAUUUCUGCAAUGGUUCCUUGUCUUUCCUGGAAUUCUGUUUUUUCAAGGGUUAUACUUCACACUAGUGAGCAUAGUACAAAAACAUAAUGAUCAUUGCUAAUCAAAUAUGAAACAAAUUUUUAUCAAACAGAUGGCCAGGAUAUGGAUUGUGUAAGAGAGGGAAGGAUGAAAAGUAAUUGUUUCUUUUUCAUCGCGGAUAUUUGUUCGUACUUCCCAUGUCCUAUAUAUCAUGGGUGCAGACGUGAGAGUGGUAUAAGUUGAUGAAACAAGGGUAAAAAAUGAACAUGAAGACAUAAGAUCACAACGAUGGUUUAGCACAUGCACAUGCAAGUUCAAAACAAUAAAAUACAACAAUUCUUUCACAUAAAAUUCUCUUAGCUUGUGCCAUGCCAUCUUCAUCACCAUUUGUAUUUGUGUGUUUUCUUGGUAGAGUACUGAAAAGGAGAAAAUUUCACAUCAGGUAGUUUACUUUGUUAUCUACCCGUAUAGAAUUGCUUCCCUGACCUCAAGUUUUAUCUUACAGACUCAGCCAGAAUUCAGGCCAUCAAUGUCUGAAGUUGUCCAGGAUCUGCUAGACAUGAUUCGGAGAGAGCGCCACAGCAGUGAGUCAAUUGGGGACUGAUAGAA
RNAcentral lists this unclassified non-coding RNA (783 nucleotides) under Hevea brasiliensis (rubber tree). Lineage: Eukaryota; Viridiplantae; Streptophyta; Magnoliopsida; Malpighiales; Euphorbiaceae. The record is from RNAcentral.